This 562-nucleotide ribosomal RNA is filed under the name Lividopora vincta. RNAcentral describes it as "Rigidoporus vinctus partial large subunit ribosomal RNA". It matches the Rfam family "Eukaryotic large subunit ribosomal RNA", at positions 109 to 654 of the family's 3401-position model. The record is from RNAcentral. Lineage: Eukaryota; Fungi; Basidiomycota; Agaricomycetes; Polyporales; Cerrenaceae.
UCAAAUUUAAAAUCUGGCAGUCUUUGGCUGUCCGAGUUGUAGUCUGGAGAAGCGUUUUCCGCGCUGGACCGUGUAUAAGUCCCUUGGAAUAGGGCGUCAUAGAGGGUGAGAAUCCCGUCUUUGACACGGACUACCAGUGCUUUGUGAUGCGCUCUCAAAGAGUCGAGUUGUUUGGGAAUGCAGCUCAAAAUGGGUGGUAAAUUCCAUCUAAAGCUAAAUAUUGGCGAGAGACCGAUAGCGAACAAGUACCGUGAGGGAAAGAUGAAAAGCACUUUGGAAAGAGAGUUAAACAGUACGUGAAAUUGCUGAAAGGGAAACGCUUGAAGUCAGUCGCGUUAUUCAGAACUCAGCCUGGCUUUUGCUUGGUGUAUUUUCUGUAUGACGGGCCAGCAUCAAUUUUGGCCGCUGGAAAAAGGCUCUAGAAAUGUGGCACCUCCGGGUGUGUUAUAGUCUAGGGUCAUAUACAGCGGCUGGGAUUGAGGUCUGCAGCACGCCUUUAUGGCUGGGGUUCGCCCACAUUCGUGCUUAGGAUGCUGGCGUAAUGGCUUUAAACGACCCGUCU